AUUGAACGCUGGCGGCAGGCCUAACACAUGCAAGUCGAACGGUAGCACAGAGGAGCUUGCUCCUUGGGUGACGAGUGGCGGACGGGUGAGUAAUGUCUGGGAAACUGCCCGAUGGAGGGGGAUAACUACUGGAAACGGUAGCUAAUACCGCAUAACGUCGCAAGACCAAAGAGGGGGACCUUCGGGCCUCUUGCCAUCGGAUGUGCCCAGAUGGGAUUAGCUAGUAGGUGGGGUAACGGCUCACCUAGGCGACGAUCCCUAGCUGGUCUGAGAGGAUGACCAGCCACACUGGAACUGAGACACGGUCCAGACUCCUACGGGAGGCAGCAGUGGGGAAUAUUGCACAAUGGGCGCAAGCCUGAUGCAGCCAUGCCGCGUGUAUGAAGAAGGCCUUCGGGUUGUAAAGUACUUUCAGCGGGGAGGAAGGGGUUAAGGUUAAUAACCUUAGCCAUUGACGUUACCCGCAGAAGAAGCACCGGCUAACUCCGUGCCAGCCGCCGCGGUAA
This 506-nucleotide ribosomal RNA is filed under the name uncultured bacterium. Its description in RNAcentral is "partial 16S ribosomal RNA". It matches the Rfam family "Bacterial small subunit ribosomal RNA", at positions 30 to 523 of the family's 1533-position model. The record is from RNAcentral.